AUUGAACGCUGGCGGCAGGCCUAACACAUGCAAGUCGAGCGGAGCGGCGGACGGGUGCGUGAUGCCUAGGAAUCUGCCUGGUAGUGGGGGAUAACGUCCGGAACUGGGCGCUAAUACCGCAUACUAUCACAUGACCCUAGGUCGGUUUAGCUAGUUGGUGGGGUAAAGGCCUACCAGGGCGACGGUCGGUAACUGGUCUGAGAGGAGGAUCAGUCACACGGGAACUGAGACACGGUCCAGACUCCUACGGGAGGCAGCAGUGGGGAAUAUUGGACAAGGGGCGAAAGCCUGAUCCAGCCAUGCCGCGUGUGUGAAGAAGGUCUUCGGGUUGUAAAGCACUUUAAGUUGGGAGGCGGUACCAGCAGAAUAAGCACCGGCUAACUUCGUGCCAGCAGCCGCGGUAAUAC
RNAcentral lists this ribosomal RNA (407 nucleotides) under uncultured bacterium. RNAcentral's name for it is "partial 16S ribosomal RNA". It matches the Rfam family "Bacterial small subunit ribosomal RNA", at positions 30 to 526 of the family's 1533-position model. The record is from RNAcentral.